AGUGAACGCUGGCGGUAGGCCUAACACAUGCAAGUCGAACGGCAGCACAGUAAGAGCUUGCUCUUACGGGUGGCGAGUGGCGGACGGGUGAGGAAUACAUCGGAAUCUACUUUUUCGUGGGGGAUAACGUAGGGAAACUUACGCUAAUACCGCAUACGCCCUACGGGUGAAAGCAGGGGAUCUUCGGACCUUGCGCGAUUGAAUGAGCCGCUGUCGGAUUAGCUAGUUGGCGGGGUAAAGGCCCACCAAGGCGACGAUCCGUAGCUGGUCUGAGAGGAUGAUCAGCCACACUGGAAAUGAGACACGGUCCAGACUCCUACGAGAGGCAGCAGUGGGGAAUAUUGGACAAUGGGCGCAAGCCUGAUCCAGCCAUACCGCGUGGGUGAAGAAGGCCUUCGGGUUGUAAAGCCCUUUUGUUGGGAAAGAAAAGCAGCAGGUUAAUACCCCGCUGUUCUGACGGUACCCAAAGAAUAAGCACCGGCUAACUUCGUG
RNAcentral lists this ribosomal RNA (492 nucleotides) under uncultured bacterium. RNAcentral describes it as "partial 16S ribosomal RNA". It matches the Rfam family "Bacterial small subunit ribosomal RNA", at positions 29 to 507 of the family's 1533-position model. The record is from RNAcentral.